AGUCACUGACAUUAGAUACCCCGGUAGUCCAGGGUGUAAACGCUGCAGACUUGGUGUUGGGAACCCUUCGGGGGUGCUCAGUGCCGGAGAGAAGUUGUUAAGUCUGCUACUUGGGGAGUACGUCCGCAAGGAUGAAACUUAAAGGAAUUGGCGGGGGAGCACCGCAACGGGAGGAGCGUGCGGUUUAAUUGGAUUCAACACCGUAAACUCACCAGGGAAGACUGUUACAUGAAGGCCGAGAUGAAGACUCUGCUAGAUUUUCAG
RNAcentral lists this ribosomal RNA (264 nucleotides) under uncultured archaeon. RNAcentral's name for it is "partial 16S ribosomal RNA". It matches the Rfam family "Archaeal small subunit ribosomal RNA", at positions 718 to 982 of the family's 1478-position model. The record is from RNAcentral.